This 368-nucleotide long non-coding RNA is filed under the name Gallus gallus (chicken). RNAcentral's name for it is "long non-coding RNA NONGGAT002109". The record is from RNAcentral. Lineage: Eukaryota; Metazoa; Chordata; Aves; Galliformes; Phasianidae.
CAAAGCCUGGGAUCAAUUCUGUUUUUGCAAGAUGAUCGGAAGAAGGAGGAUUCUGUGAAACUGAAGGCAUUUGUCAAGGACUGCGACUUGCUGCAAGACAAAAAUGCAACAUGUUUGGUAAAUGGAAGAAGACUGAAAAGGUUCAACAGAGUCAAGAGACUGCUGGAGGACUUUUUCUGCCACAGGCAACUGGGAGUGCUAAUGAUCGGAGAAACUUCAUAAAUGUUACUCACUCCUACCCAAUCUCUAGCAAAUGAUAUUCUAGCAAUCUCUAGAAAAAGGGCUCUGCUGACAGCUUGCAGGGCUAGUUGGACUGGAGAAGCUGAUUCCCAUCUCUUCAGAAAGGUAUUCUGCUGUAAGUUGGCACA